GUGCCAGCCGCCGCGGUAAUACCGGCAGCCCGAGUGAUGGCCGAUCUUAUUGGGCCUAAAGCGUCCGUAGCUGGCCGCACGAGUCCGUCGGGAAAUCCGCCCGCUCAACGGGCGGCCGUCCGGCGGAACCUGUGUGGCUUGGGACCGGGAGGCCUGAGGGGUACGAUCGGGGUAGGAGUGAAAUCCUGUAAUCCUGGACGGACCGCCGAUGGCGAAAGCACGUCGGGAAGACGGAUCCGACGGUGAGGGACGAAAGCCAGGGUCUCCAACCGGAUUAGAAACCCUGGUAGUCC
RNAcentral lists this ribosomal RNA (293 nucleotides) under uncultured bacterium. RNAcentral's name for it is "partial 16S ribosomal RNA". It matches the Rfam family "Archaeal small subunit ribosomal RNA", at positions 455 to 747 of the family's 1478-position model. The record is from RNAcentral.